RNAcentral lists this transfer RNA (76 nucleotides) under Ixodes scapularis (black-legged tick). It matches the Rfam family "tRNA". Rfam says of the family: Transfer RNA (tRNA) molecules are approximately 80 nucleotides in length. Their secondary structure includes four short double-helical elements and three loops (D, anti-codon, and T loops). The record is from Rfam by way of RNAcentral. Lineage: Eukaryota; Metazoa; Arthropoda; Arachnida; Ixodida; Ixodidae.
GCCGUGAUCGUAUAGUGAGUGGUUAGUACCUUGCGUUGUGGCUGCAAUAACCCAGGUUCGAAUUCUGGUCGCGCCA